GACGAACGCUGGCGGCGUGCUUAACACAUGCAAGUCGAACGGAAAGGCCCUGCUUUUGUGGGGUGCUCGAGUGGCGAACGGGUGAGUAACACGUGAGUAACCUGCCCUUGACUUUGGGAUAACUUCAGGAAACUGGGGCUAAUACCGGAUAGGAGCUCCUGCUGCAUGGGGGGGGUUGGAAAGUUUCGGCGGUUGGGGAGGGACUCGCGGCUUAUCAGCUUGUUGGUGGGGUAGUGGCUUACCAAGGCUUUGACGGGUAGCCGGCCUGAGAGGGUGACCGGCCACAUUGGGACUGAGAUACGGCCCAGACUCCUACGGGAGGCAGCAGUGGGGAAUAUUGCACAAUGGGCGGAAGCCUGAUGCAGCACCGCCGCGUGCGGGAUGACGGCCUUCGGGUUGUAAACCGCUUUCGCCUGUGACGAAGCGUGAGUGACGGUAAUGGGUAAAGAAGCACCGGCUAACUACGUG
RNAcentral lists this ribosomal RNA (468 nucleotides) under uncultured bacterium. Its description in RNAcentral is "partial 16S ribosomal RNA". It matches the Rfam family "Bacterial small subunit ribosomal RNA", at positions 28 to 507 of the family's 1533-position model. The record is from RNAcentral.